AUCAUUACCGAGUGCGGGCUGCCUCCGGGCGCCCAACCUCCCACCCGUGACUACCUAACACUGUUGCUUCGGCGGGGAGCCCUCUCGGGGGCGAGCCGCCGGGGACUACUGAACUUCAUGCCUGAGAGCGAUGCAGUCUGAGUCUGAAUAUAAAAUCAGUCAAAACUUUCAACAAUGGAUCUCUUGGUUCCGGCAUCGAUGAAGAACGCAGCGAACUGCGAUAAGUAAUGUGAAUUGCAGAAUUCAGUGAAUCAUCGAGUCUUUGAACGCACAUUGCGCCCCCUGGCAUUCCGGGGGGCAUGCCUGUCCGAGCGUCAUUGCUGCCCAUCAAGCCCGGCUUGUGUGUUGGGUCGUCGUCCCCCCCGGGGGACGGGCCCGAAAGGCAGCGGCGGCACCGUGUCCGGUCCUCGAGCGUAUGGGGCUUUGUCACCCGCUCGAUUAGGGCCGGCCGGGCGCCAGCCGACGUCUCCAACCAUUUUCUUCAGGUUGACCUCGGAUCAGGUAGGGAUACCCGCUGAACUUAAGCAUAUCAAUAAGCGGAGGA
Molecule: ribosomal RNA, 544 nt
Filed under: uncultured Aspergillus
Lineage: Eukaryota; Fungi; Ascomycota; Eurotiomycetes; Eurotiales; Aspergillaceae
Description: eukaryotic LSU rRNA
Rfam family: 5.8S ribosomal RNA (bases 164-317)
Source: RNAcentral